This 75-nucleotide transfer RNA is filed under the name Methylophilaceae bacterium. Its description in RNAcentral is "tRNA-Gly". It matches the Rfam family "tRNA". From Rfam's summary of the family: Transfer RNA (tRNA) molecules are approximately 80 nucleotides in length. Lineage: Bacteria; Pseudomonadati; Pseudomonadota; Betaproteobacteria; Nitrosomonadales; Methylophilaceae. The record is from RNAcentral.
GCGGGAAUAGCUCAAGAGGAAGAGCGCAUCCUUUCCAAGGGUGAGGUGUCUGGUCGAAACUUUCUUCCCGCUCCA